ACUACAGACCGCUCUGCCGCCUUACGGGGAGGAAAGUCCGGACAACACAGAGCGCCGCCCCACCUAACCGGUGGAAUUUCCGAAGCAGUUCGGAAAGAUAGAAAGUGUCACAGAAAAUUACCGCCUUAUUUCCGGGCAACCGGAAUGGGGUAAGGGUGAAAACGUGCGGUAAGAGCGCACGAUCCCGGCGGGCAACCGGCGGGAGGGAUAAACCUGGCGGGUUGAAAUGCCAUGUACACCUUGUUCCAUGCGCGGCUCGCGCAUCGCUCCGGUUUUCCGGGCGGCAAGGGGGGUAGGCAGCGCAAAUUCUUCCGGGCGACCGGCAAGAUCAGAUAAAUGGCAGAGGCCCCGGUUUGCGCCGGGGUGACAGAAUCCGGCUUACAGGUCUGUAGUUUUU
This 397-nucleotide RNase P RNA is filed under the name Saprospiraceae bacterium. RNAcentral describes it as "RNase P RNA component class A". It matches the Rfam family "Bacterial RNase P class A". From Rfam's summary of the family: Ribonuclease P (RNase P) is a ubiquitous endoribonuclease, found in archaea, bacteria and eukarya as well as chloroplasts and mitochondria. Its best characterised activity is the generation of mature 5'-ends of tRNAs by cleaving the 5'-leader elements of precursor-tRNAs. Lineage: Bacteria; Pseudomonadati; Bacteroidota; Saprospiria; Saprospirales; Saprospiraceae. The record is from RNAcentral.